This 353-nucleotide ribosomal RNA is filed under the name uncultured archaeon. RNAcentral's name for it is "bacterial SSU rRNA". It matches the Rfam family "Archaeal small subunit ribosomal RNA", at positions 521 to 874 of the family's 1478-position model. The record is from RNAcentral.
GUAGCCGGUUUGGUACAUUCGUGGGUAAAUCAACCAGCUUAACUGGUUGAAUUCUGCGAGGACGGCCAGACUUGGGACCGGGAGAGGUGUGGGGUACUCUCAGGGUAGGGGUAAAAUCCUGUCAUCCUGAGAGGACCACCUGUUGCGAAGGCGCCACACUAGAACGGAUCCGACGGUCAGGGACGAAGCCUAGGGGCACGAACCGGAUUAGAUACCCGGGUAGUCCUAGGUGUAAACGCUGUGGACUUGGUGUUGGGGAUCCUCCGAGGAUCCUCAGUGCCGGAGCGAAGAUGUUAAGUCCACUGCCUGGGGAGUACGGUCGCAAGGCUGAAACUUAAAGGAAUUGGCGGGGG